GAGAAUAUCUACUGAAUUGAUUUUGCAUCCCUCCAUCCAUCACCUUCCUCAGAACGCACCACCACCCCACUAAUUCACUGCAGUUUCUCAGCUUGCCUGACAGGUUCUGCUUCUCACUCAUCUAUCACACCUCUCUGAAAAGAAAGAAGCAGAUGCUAAACAGCACUAAAUUCACCUUCUGCUUUUCUGCCUGGCUCCGCCCUCACUUGCUCAGGAGAAGGUAAUUAGUAGCAUACAAAUGAGUGAGCUCAGGGUUGUGUUAUGGUGAAUAUUAAAGAAAAGGGCUGCUGCUGGGGUCACAGGGGCAUUUGGAGCAGAAGUGCUGCCUGCCUCAUCUGUCCCCUGCCCAGGGAGGUGCUGGGAUCACUGUCCCUAGAGGUAACUGGGGAAGCCAAUUGCCUGGCAGUGUCUGGAAAAUACAUCUUUGUUGGUCUGUGCGUGGAUAUGGCUGCCUUCAGGAUGUUUGACUGUGAGCAGGGCUUGUUUGACUCUUCUGCUUUCACAAGGAAACUUCCUGCUCAUUAAAAUCCUAAACGAGGUGAUGAGAUGGGGAGGGAGCUAACCUUGUACUGAGAUGAUGUCAAAAUGCCUCAGAAAGGCAAGGUGAGCUGUGUCCUCAGAUGACUUCUCCUAAUUUCUCCCUUCAAAUACUGGAAAAUGGGCUAGUGAUAUGUAGGGUCCCUAGUGUAUGUUCCUAAUGUUGAACUACUUCUACCAGGAAAAUGCACUGUGGUCCUUUUCAGGACAAUGCCUCCCUGAAGAUGGGAUAGUGAACAUGCAUCUGGGCUCUUCUCCAUCUCCAUAGUGUCUGUUUCUCCCAGGGCUGUGACUCUUUCUUUUAUGUUUCUGAUCUAGGAGCAAAUUUCCAAAGCCCUUUGGAUGCCUUGAAGAAAGCAGAUGAUGGCAGCAUGCUGGGUUUGGGGCACAGUCACCUGAUUGAGGACUCCCAGUGGGAGAAGCAGGAGGUGAUUUUUGCAGCACUUAUCAGGGGUAUCUGGAGGUUGAGGGUGAGAAUGAGAGCAAGGAUGAAGUCCUCAGCUGAGUGGGAGUCCUAGUCAGCAUUCUGUUCCAUGAAACUUCAGUGUGGGACAUGUGAAGUACAGAUGGAAGCUUCUGGCUUGGUUCUACUGCUUUCAUCCUAAGGUUUCAGGACAGGGGAUUAGCAUCAUUCCAGAUGCUGUUGCAGUGCUACCUACUUAUCAAGGCCUUUCUUUUACAUGUAUUUCUUUCCUUCCUUACUCAGACAUGCUACUUUUCAUUUUCUCCUCCCCAGCUGGAUCCUGUAGAUGGGACUAGUCAGGUAAUCCAACUGGGCUAAAAGUUGUUGACAUGUGAAGUAUCUCCACUGCAUGACAUUGAGCUCCAGUUAGAGAUCACUGACUCUGGGUUGGGUUGACUCUGUAAAUUCCAUCUUCCAGAACAAAAGUCUGACUUAAACUGUCAACCCUAUGCCAGCAUGGAGUCAAACAAACUUCUCUCCUUGGUUUAAAUUAAAUGAGAGAACACG
RNAcentral lists this long non-coding RNA (1507 nucleotides) under Phasianus colchicus (ring-necked pheasant). RNAcentral describes it as "lncRNA (ENSPCLG00000004844.1)". The record is from RNAcentral. Lineage: Eukaryota; Metazoa; Chordata; Aves; Galliformes; Phasianidae.